Molecule: ribosomal RNA, 497 nt
Filed under: uncultured bacterium
Lineage: Bacteria
Description: partial 16S ribosomal RNA
Rfam family: Bacterial small subunit ribosomal RNA
Source: RNAcentral
GAUGAACGCUGGCGGCGUGCCUAAUACAUGCAAGUCGAGCGAACAGACGAGGAGCUUGCUCCUUUGACGUUAGCGGCGGACGGGUGAGUAACACGUGGGUAACCUACCUAUAAGACUGGGAUAACUUCGGGAAACCGGAGCUAAUACCGGUUAAUAUUUCGAACCGCAUGGUUCGAUAGUGAAAGAUGGCUUUGCUAUCACUUAUAGAUGGACCUGCGCCGUAUUAGCUAGUUGGUAAGGUAACGGCUUACCAAGGCAACGAUACGUAGCCGACCUGAGAGGGUGAUCGGCCACACUGGAACUGAGACACGGUCCAGACUCCUACGGGAGGCAGCAGUAGGGAAUCUUCCGCAAUGGGCGAAAGCCUGACGGAGCAACGCCGCGUGAGUGAUGAAGGUCUUCGGAUCGUAAAACUCUGUUAUUAGGGAAGAACAAACGUGUAAGUAACUGUGCACGUCUUGACGGUACCUAAUCAGAAAGCCACGGCUAACUACGUA